GGCUCGGUAGCUCAGUCGGUAGAGCAUUGGACUGAAAAUCCAAGUGUCGGCGGUUCGAAUCCGUCCCGAGCCA
This 73-nucleotide transfer RNA is filed under the name Paenibacillus sp. IHBB 10380. Its description in RNAcentral is "tRNA-Phe (GAA) (tRNA-Phe-GAA-2-1)". It matches the Rfam family "tRNA". From Rfam's summary of the family: Transfer RNA (tRNA) molecules are approximately 80 nucleotides in length. Their secondary structure includes four short double-helical elements and three loops (D, anti-codon, and T loops). Lineage: Bacteria; Bacillati; Bacillota; Bacilli; Caryophanales; Paenibacillaceae. The record is from Rfam by way of RNAcentral.